CGAGAAUUAGCUAAUAUGGCUACCCCCAUGAGGCGACCCGCUAACUUGCAUGUUAAGUAAAUAUUAAUUUCGAGGCGACUGAUGUGACUUUUAACAUCCCAUACAAGGUUGUUUAGCGCAUGACCACUGUGGCGUAUUCAGUUCCUGAUUCAUACUUCACUGCAGGAGCAGAGUUUUCACCAGCACCUGAAUAAUUCACCGUGGCAUAUAAUAGCUCAUUCUCUACGACCUGUGAAAAACAUGUUGAAAUUAAACAUUACAAAUGAGUAUUUCUCUAAAUCAUGUUCAUAAAAACAUUCAUAACGGCAGAGAAAUGCAUUUUUUGACUGAUAUGUAGUUACAUGUAAACAUUCAAAGUGAAUUUAAAACCUGUAUGACUUCCUCGCAUGUCGUUUUGAUUUCAAAAGUAAUUCAAUAAAUAAAUAAUG
Long non-coding RNA from Carassius carassius (crucian carp), 428 nucleotides. RefSeq lists it as uncharacterized. Lineage: Eukaryota; Metazoa; Chordata; Actinopteri; Cypriniformes; Cyprinidae. The transcript is spliced from 2 exons. The record is from RefSeq and is a predicted model, not a curated record.